GAUGAAGAACGUAGCGAAAUGCGAUAAGUAGUGUGAAUUGCAGAAUUCAGUGAAUCAUCGAGUCUUUGAACGCACAUUGCGCCCCCUGGUAUUCCGGGGGGCAUGCCUGUCCGAGCGUCAUUGCUGCCCUCAAGCACGGCUUGUGUGUUGGGCCGUCGUCCCCCUCCUAGGGGACGGGCCCGAAAGGCAGCGGCGGCACCGCGUCCGGUCCUCGAGCGUAUGGGGCUUCGUCACCCGCUCCGUAGGCCCGGCCGGCGCUUGCCGACGACCAUCAAUCUCUUUCUCCAGGUUGACCUCGGAUCAGGUAGGGAUACCCGCUGAACUUAAGCAUAUCAAUAAGCGGAGGA
This 347-nucleotide unclassified non-coding RNA is filed under the name soil metagenome. RNAcentral's name for it is "partial contains 5.8S ribosomal RNA, internal transcribed spacer 2, and large subunit ribosomal RNA". The stretch from base 1 to 120 matches the Rfam family "5.8S ribosomal RNA", at positions 35 to 154 of the family's 154-position model. The record is from RNAcentral.